UCCGAUAAGGGCAAAUCCCGAGUGAUCGGGAGGCGCAAAGCCACGGGUCUUGGUUCUCUUAAGAAAGCCGGGCUGCCGAAG
RNAcentral lists this non-coding RNA (81 nucleotides) under Candidatus Zhuqueibacterota. RNAcentral's name for it is "Candidate division c-di-GMP sequence". It matches the Rfam family "c-di-GMP-I-GGC riboswitch aptamer". Lineage: Bacteria; Pseudomonadati. The record is from RNAcentral.